UUAAUUAAUUCUAACAGAAAAUGGAGAGAAGGGCAACCACAUUGUCAUGGAGAACACCACCUCCACCUGCCUCCCUGCAUCUGUCUUCUGGAACCAAGUGGGAAGAAUCAAACUCCUUGCUUUGUGAGAAAGUCCUUGCCUUCUCCUGGCAUGGAGGGAUAAAAGCACCUCCUUUCGAGCCUGGCAAACCUGGAGCUGUGAGCGCCUAGGGGAGAGGGUAUCUGAAAUGAGCGCCGAGAUUCCUUUACCUCCACUCCACCUCCAGCAGAGAUAUCCAUGGAGAGAUGGAGCCAUUUCUUCACUCUACUGGGGCCAAAGGAUGUGGAGCCUCUGGGUGGAUUUUCUAGGUGUUUAAGAGAAGAGCCUUCAAUCUGGUCACUCUCUGUUCAGUUUGUUUAACUUAGAAUCUUUAAGAAAUGAGCAAAAAAAAAAGAGGGGGUAUGUGUAUAUGUUGGAGAAGGGAAUGGCAACCCACUCCAGUAUUCUUGCCUGGAGAAUUCCACGGACAGGGGAGCCUUGGGGGGCUAUAGUCCAUGGGGUUGCUGAGAGUCGGACACGACUGAGCAACUAACACACACACAUAUGUAUAACGGAUUCAGUUCGUGGUACAGUAGAAACUUACACCACAUUGUAAAGCAGCUAUACUCCAAUUAAUUAAAAAAAAAGAGACGAGCCACCAGUAAGAAAAGGGCCCCAUGUUAAAUUCUGGACUUGGGUUUUUUCACGACUGGGCCCUCUGACAUCUCUGGGCACACCCACCAGCUCUGGCAGUUGUCUGGCGUCUGCCAGUACCCCUCAGUCAUCCUAGUUCCUAUAGGUAUCUUAACUGAUUGGUGCUUCAUUAGUACAUUUCUCUCUGGAUCUUAUAAACAUGUGAGUUUAUAAUCCCUAUUAAAUACACUGUAUGGUUCCCUUUCCCUCCCCCUUUAUUAAUAUUUGAUAUUGAUUUAAAAUAUAAAACAUAUAUAUGUGUGUGUAUAUAUAUAUAUAUAUAUAUCCUUGUUGGUUUUUUUUCCUGUUAAAUUAAAAAAUUUAAUACACAUUUAUGAUGAACAU
This 1056-nucleotide long non-coding RNA is filed under the name Bos indicus x Bos taurus (hybrid cattle). RNAcentral's name for it is "lncRNA (ENSBIXG00000015371.1)". The record is from RNAcentral. Lineage: Eukaryota; Metazoa; Chordata; Mammalia; Artiodactyla; Bovidae.